RNAcentral lists this ribosomal RNA (253 nucleotides) under uncultured bacterium. Its description in RNAcentral is "partial 16S ribosomal RNA". It matches the Rfam family "Bacterial small subunit ribosomal RNA", at positions 524 to 776 of the family's 1533-position model. The record is from RNAcentral.
UACAGAGGUGGCAAGCGUUGUCCGGAAUCAUUGGGCGUAAAGAGCGUGUAGGCGGUCCGGUAAGUCGGCUGUGAAAGUCCAGGGCUCAACCCUGGGAUGCCGGUCGAUACUGCCGGACUAGAGUUCGGAAGAGGCGAGUGGAAUUCCCGGUGUAGCGGUGAAAUGCGCAGAUAUCGGGAGGAACACCUAUGGCGAAGGCAGCUCGCUGGGACGUUACUGACGCUGAGACGCGAAAGCGUGGGGAGCAAACAGG